Molecule: long non-coding RNA, 2551 nt
Organism: Felis catus (domestic cat)
Lineage: Eukaryota; Metazoa; Chordata; Mammalia; Carnivora; Felidae
Exons: 2
Source: RefSeq, a predicted model, not a curated record
ACAUAAAAAAAAAAGAGGAUAGAACAUAUUUUAUAUAACAGUGUGUUAGAAUUCAGAAAUACAGCCUGCACCCUCCAUUUGUACUCAAGCCCCCAGCCCUACGAAUGUUAGAGGCGGACCUGCUGUGUGAGGGCUGAAGCCGUGAGAGAACACAGCUUGCUUGGGAAGCUAAAAGUAGCUUGGCAAAGCCUGAGCCUAGAAUAUGAAGCAAAGGGUUCAGGAAUGCACUUGCCUGCCUCACAGUUUGAACUUCAUUCUGAAGGCAGCAGAGAGAUCGUUAGGGAUUAUGAGCUGGGGAGUAAGCCAGCAGUGGGUCUGGAGCCCUCAGAUCACAUGUGCCAAUCUGCUCUGUCCCCAGAAGAAAUACACAAGGAUUUUUCUGUUCUCUCUUCUUCACUUCGCCCCUAUCCAGAAGCAGGAAAGAAAAAGAAUGGUGUUAUCGGUUACAGCUGUAGGAGUCCAAAUAGCAAAGCCUCGUGCAGUCAGAAAAGCAAACAUCUGGGAGAAAAAAUAGCAACCCCACAUUCUUAUCUGGCCUACUCAGCUGGCCAGAGCCUGAAAUCACAGACCCAGAGAAGCCAGGUGGCCAAGCUAAAGCCCAAGAGCCCACAGACAUCAAGGACAGGACAUCUGGGAAUGGGACGAGAACAUGGUGCUGGACAGGUAAUCAAAAAACUGACAUAAACCUAGCACCUAAGAGACACACGGAGUGCUUAGAAUGAGUCUUGCUUCAUCUCCAAGGUUUGCAACGUCUCGGGUGCAGCAGAAACUCUUAGUUAUUGAUCAUUUCCCAGAGCAGGACCAGCUGGGCCGGGUGCUCAGAGCUACAGGGCAGGCCUCUCACAGCAUCCAUCAUGCACAACUGCAUGUGUCCAUAAAUCAUGGACACCGGACAAGCAGAAUCCCCCUUCAGUAGGUCUCUGUAGACGAUAUUUAUCAAACUUCAUUGCCAAGAAUAACUUGACUUCCUCAUGGGCAAUUAUCCUUCCACUACCGUAUGCGACAUGGGAGAAAAUGACAAACUCCAACAGAACUUCCCACCGACAGGGCAGCUCUUUGGAUUACUGUCCCGCCGCACCUUACAGCCAGGUAGUAGUGAUGUGACCUAAGCUCCACUUAGCAAACACCCCAAGACUUUAAUCUGUGAGCCAGUGACGUGAGAAUGGGAAAACAAUUGGGGUGCCAAUUAUUGCAGCCGCCGCCUCUGCAGCACCAAGAAACGCUGCUCUGAUGGCAGCAACUGCCCCGGGAGAAUGGCCUUGGAGAAGGAAGAUCCUUCCCACCCUUUCCCCAGCACCCUGUGCACUCCCUUCAUCCUAGCAAUAAAUCCCUAAGUGCUCCCAUAAAAUCAGCUCACUUAUCUUCUAUUUCAUGAGUAGCUCUUGCCUCCCAAACCAGCAGGUCAGCUUGAAACCCUGGAACUGCUGCCCAGAAUUGUUUGUGAAGAUGCGGAGUUUUCACACAAUCGUGGUUUAAACCAGCAAACCAGUGGUCCCUCCGUCUUUAGCUCAGUGUGUUUAACACAACACUACCUUAUGUUUCUAUGCUCUCUCCCCACAUUCCAGGGUGUGCUAAUUGUUACAGAUCGACUGGGCUAUUGCCUUACUCUGGGACAGUGGGCUCCAAAGGAAGAGGAGUUCCUUUUUUUAUUUCCCUGGAGCCCUCUGAUUCCUGCUACUAUGGCGAAAAGUGAGGGGCUGCUGACAGAAAGUCAAUUUGCUGAGGCAGAGGGGGAGUGCUCCACUGGCUCUGCUCUCUGCCCUGGGGAAUACUCUCGAGCUUGAGCAGGAAGAGAAGUCAACGCAUGGGGCAGGCGUGGGGGCCAGGACUUAGCUACUGGCUACUGAUCACAUUUGGGCAGAGAGAUUGUCAUCAAAAAUGUCAUUUUGAAAGUUAGAAAAGCAUAUACACAUAUGCAACUCAACAGAUGUUCAUACCCCUCCUCCUCUUCCUUCUACAACACUCACAGGAAACACAUGUCUGUGUUGUCCUAAGUCCAGUUACUAAUUAGCACGUUUCAGUAGCACAUUUCACGGAGGAUAGGGAGGAUUUCAAAGGGAUUCCUUCCUUUUAAGUUGAGACAGCUGGUGCUAAUUACCAAGCAGGAAAAGAAUGUGCAAACAGAACAUCCAGAAGCCCUCAGUGGAACAGAAGGCUGAGGGGUCUUUUGGUUCUAUUGUAGAAUUUUUCUGCAGUGGUUGGAAGGGGCUGCAGAUGAUCUACAUCUCCACCUUACCCCCAGGAAGCAGCUGUCCAGUUUCAUCACCCUGCAAGUAGGUGGGAAACAAAGUCCGAGAACAUGGACUCAAAGGAGAACUGGCAAGAAUGAAUUUUCUUCCCUGGAAUGUUCCUCAAACUAUGAUUUUCAAGCUUUUUCAAGGUCACUUCAGGGAGGCAAGAGAUCAUAUAAUCUACCUGUCUUACCUACUCCAAUUGCUACUGGAAAAAAACAAAAACGAAACAAAAAAUAACUUCACCAAAUGAAUGGGAAAAAAAGAGUAUUGCUGCUAAUAAAGCACCAAAGGAAGAGAUGAACAAAAUGUCCCAUAGU